CACAAUCAGAUCGACCCUAAACGCUAAGACUACCAAAAGAACCAAAACGCUAAGAACCCAUCUCUCUCGCGAUGCAACCCUAAGCGCCGUCGACCUCUACCUCUACCGGCGACAAGAUCGACCCUUAUCUCAUUCGUCUUCUCUCUCUCACUCGCUCGCAGUCGUCCUAAGCGCCGUCGUCCUCUCUCUCACUCGUCAAAUCGAAC
Molecule: long non-coding RNA, 206 nt
Filed under: Trifolium pratense (red clover)
Lineage: Eukaryota; Viridiplantae; Streptophyta; Magnoliopsida; Fabales; Fabaceae
Description: long non-coding RNA (TPRA_LNC007181)
Source: RNAcentral